GUGUGUUUAUUCCAGUCAGGUUGCUUUUUUAAAAAAGAUUUCUCCAAAGCAUUUUAAAGCAAUCUGUGAAACAUAGUGGAUGAAAACUGUAGCUCAAAAUGCAUGAACAAGAAAAACAUCCUGUACAUUUUAGGAGUUGAACAGACUAGCCAGUUAUCUUCUAGAUACUGAUGGAGUGUGUCUGAUUUAAGUAAAGAAAUAAGGCAGCAAAGAAAAAAAAACAUUAAUAAACUGUAAGGGUCCAGCCGGCCCCACCUGCUGCCAUCAGAGGUCGACGGCAGCAAAGUGCCCAGCCUGCACCACCUGUUGCCAGCAGAGGGUGAUGGUGGGGAGGAGCAACGGACUAAUUAGGCUCAUUCGACACACCUGCAGGCACCCCUACUUAAGGCUGCGGCAAACGGCAGUGUUUGUCACAGCUUUGUAGAGGGGUGACCGGUAUGGUACUUAACAGUGUUAAAUAAAAUAAAAAGAAAAGAAAAGAAACGAAACGAAACGAAACUGCCCCAAAACUAAGAAGAAAAGAGGACUACCAUCCCAGAGUCUACCUUCCCUGCACUCUAAUAGAGGAGGGUUUCACCCACAGUUACCUCUGCUUCCUGGUGGAGCAGCGGUAACACCAUGGACCGCCGACCGGUACAGCGACGGUUCGAGUCUGGCUCUAGGUUACCUUAUUUACAACGUCCAAUACACACACUCCACCCCCGUAAAUCUCCUUACUCCCCUUUUUUCUCACUGGCUUUCGGUUCUGUACUUGGGUCCGCCUCCCCGCUGUGACCUAAACAUGCUGAAAGACAGUCAAAGCAGUUUUAAUAAAGUAUUGUGGGGUGUUGCCCAGAGGGACGAUACGAG
Molecule: long non-coding RNA, 849 nt
Organism: Pygocentrus nattereri (red-bellied piranha)
Lineage: Eukaryota; Metazoa; Chordata; Actinopteri; Characiformes; Serrasalmidae
Exons: 2
Source: RefSeq, a predicted model, not a curated record